AGGGCACUACCAGGAGUGGAUCCUGCGACUCAAUUUGACUCAACACGGGAAAGCUCACCUGGUCCGGACACUGGAAGGAUUGACAGAUUAAGAGCUCUUUCUUGAUUCGGUGGGUGGUGGUGCAUGGCCGUUCUUAGUUGGUGGAGCGAUUUGUCUGGUUAAUUCCGAUAACGAACGAGACUCUAGCCUAUUAAAUAGGUGUUCCGAUCCCAUCAGUCGGACGCUCUUCUUAGAGGGACAAGCGGCGUUUAGCCGCACGAGACAGAGCAAUAACAGGUCUGUGAUGCCCUUAGAUGUCCGGGGCCGCACGCGCGCUACACUGAAGGAACCAGCGUGUGUACCUGUCCGGCAGGACUGGGUAAUCCGUUGAACCUCCUUCGUGAUAGGGAUAGGGGCUUGUAAUUGUUCCCCUUGAACGAGGAAUUCCCAGUAAGCGUGAAUCAUCAGUUCACGUUGAUUACGUCCCUGGCCUUUGUACACACCGCCCGUCGCUACUACUGAUUGGAUGAUUUAGUGAGG
Molecule: ribosomal RNA, 519 nt
Filed under: uncultured eukaryote
Lineage: Eukaryota
Description: bacterial SSU rRNA
Rfam family: Eukaryotic small subunit ribosomal RNA
Source: RNAcentral